RNAcentral lists this ribosomal RNA (288 nucleotides) under Triticum aestivum (bread wheat). RNAcentral describes it as "partial small subunit ribosomal RNA". Lineage: Eukaryota; Viridiplantae; Streptophyta; Magnoliopsida; Poales; Poaceae. The record is from RNAcentral.
AUGAUUCUCGAAGAUGAGAGAGGCGUGAACUUGGAGUUCUUCUACGACAAUGUGGGUAGCCGUGUUAAACCAGCUAGAGACCCUAAUCGCAUUAGAGCAUUUCUUCAGACUUACCGGGAGAUUGAAGAUGUAAACAUCCACUUUCAACUUCAGGAGAAUCUCGUUGAACACCAUUUGGCAAAGGGAACGGCAGUAACACAUUUCAUUUUUGCAUUCAUUUCAUUUAAUUCAUGUCUGAUUUGUAUUCGGGACAAGUUUUGUAUUGAAUUAUUUAGUUUGCUUCGGUGA